Molecule: long non-coding RNA, 566 nt
Filed under: Homo sapiens (human)
Lineage: Eukaryota; Metazoa; Chordata; Mammalia; Primates; Hominidae
Description: non-protein coding lnc-NDRG1-1:1
Source: RNAcentral
GCGGGGGCGGGGCCGCGGCGCCUAUAAAGUCGCCCUCCGCCCGGACGUAAACAAACCUCGCCUGGCUCCCAGCUGGUGCUGAAGCUCGUCAGUUCACCAUCCGCCCUCGGCUUCCGCGGGGCGCUGGGCCGCCAGCCUCGGCACCGUCCUUUCCUUUCUCCCUCGCGUUAGACCAUCACCGGCCUCCUGCAAGAGUUUGAUGUCCAGGUUCCUGUACUACUGCCUUGUACUUUUCAUUUUGGCUCACCGUGGAUUUUCUCAUAGGAAGUUUGGUCAGAGUGAAUUGAAUAUUGUAAGUCAGCCACUGGGACCCGAGGAUUUCUGGGACCCCGCAGUUGGGAGGAGGAAGUAGUCCAGCCUUCCAGGUGGCGUGAGAGGCAAUGACUCGUUACCUGCCGCCCAUCACCUUGGAGGCCUUCCCUGGCCUUGAGUAGAAAAGUCGGGGAUCGGGGCAAGAGAGGCUGAGUACGGAUGGGAAACUAUUGUGCACAAGUCUUUCCAGAGGAGUUUCUUAAUGAGAUAUUUGUAUUUAUUUCCAGACCAAUAAAUUUGUAACUUUGCAGCGG